Molecule: ribosomal RNA, 305 nt
Filed under: uncultured bacterium
Lineage: Bacteria
Description: partial 16S ribosomal RNA
Rfam family: Bacterial small subunit ribosomal RNA
Source: RNAcentral
GAUCACCUACGGGGGGCAGCAGUGGGGGAUAUUGCACAAUGGGGGAAACCCUGAUGCAGCGACGCCGCGUGGGUGAAGAAGCGCCUCGGCGCGUAAAGCCCUGUCAGCAGGGAAGAAAAUGACGGUACCUGAAGAAGAAGCCCCGGCUAACUACGUGCCAGCAGCCGCGGUAAUACGUAGGGGGCAAGCGUUAUCCGGAUUUACUGGGUGUAAAGGGGGCGCAGACGGCGACGCAAGCCAGGAGUGAAAGCCCGGGGCCCAACCCCGGGCCUGGUCUUGGAACUGCGUGGCUAGAGUGCAGGGGG